AUGCAGUUCGUACCCUGGUUCGACCCCACCGCCGACUUCCACGCCUACACCAUUUCCUGGACGCCCUGCAUGAUCGUCUGGUACGUCGACGACGUCCCCAUCCGGGUGUUCCGCAACUACCAGGACAAGGGCAUUGCGUACCCGACCAAGCGGCCCAUGUUCGGCUACUCCAGCAUCUGGUCGGCGGAGGACUGGGCCACGCAGGGCGGCCGCGUCAAAGCCGACUGGUCCAAGGCGCCCUUCGUCGCCGGCUACCGCGACAUGGUCCUCGACGUCUGCCCCUGCGACGGAAGCGACUCCUGCGUCUACGGCUGCGCCGGGGCAUUCAGCCAUGGCGGGCGGGAGCAGAACUGUGCUGGCCUCAGCGACCAGCAGCGGACCAAGAUGCUGGAGAAGCAGAGGUCUCACAGGAUCUACGACUACUGCGUCGACUAUAGGAACAACAAGAAGCCCGGCCCCGAGUGCAGCCUGCCGCAGUACUGA
This 483-nucleotide ribosomal RNA is filed under the name Triticum aestivum (bread wheat). RNAcentral's name for it is "partial small subunit ribosomal RNA". Lineage: Eukaryota; Viridiplantae; Streptophyta; Magnoliopsida; Poales; Poaceae. The record is from RNAcentral.